Molecule: ribosomal RNA, 429 nt
Filed under: Bacteroidota bacterium
Lineage: Bacteria; Pseudomonadati; Bacteroidota
Description: Bacteroidetes bacterium partial 16S ribosomal RNA
Rfam family: Bacterial small subunit ribosomal RNA
Source: RNAcentral
UAGGGAAUCUUCCGCAAUGGACGCAAGUCUGACGGAGCAACGCCGCGUGAGUGAAGAAGGAUUUCGGUUCGUAAAACUCUGUUGUUAGAGAAGAACAGCGCAUAGAGUAACUGUUAUGCGUGUGACGGUAUCUAACCAGAAAGCAACGGCUAACUACGUGCCAGCAGCCGCGGUAAUACGUAGGUGGCAAGCGUUGUCCGGAUUUAUUGGGCGUAAAGCGAGCGCAGGCGGUCAAUUAAGUCUGAUGUGAAAGCCCCCGACUCAACCGGGGAUGGUCAUUGGAAACUGGUGUACUUGAGUGCAGAAGAGGAGAGUGGAAUUCCAUGUGUAGCGGUGAAAUGCGUAGAUAUAUGGAGGAACACCAGUGGCGAAGGCGACUCUCUGGUCUGUAACUGACGCUGAGGCUCGAAAGCGUGGGUAGCAAACAGG